Molecule: ribosomal RNA, 492 nt
Filed under: uncultured bacterium
Lineage: Bacteria
Description: partial 16S ribosomal RNA
Rfam family: Bacterial small subunit ribosomal RNA
Source: RNAcentral
AGUGAACGCUGGCGGUAGGCCUAACACAUGCAAGUCGAACGGCAGCACAGUAAGAGCUUGCUCUUACGGGUGGCGAGUGGCGGACGGGUGAGGAAUACAUCGGAAUCUACUUUUUCGUGGGGGAUAACGUAGGGAAACUUACGCUAAUACCGCAUACGACCUACGGGUGAAAGCAGGGGAUCUUCGGACCUUGCGCGAUUGAAUGAGCCGGUGUCGGAUUAGCUAGUUGGCGGGGUAAAGGCCCACCAAGGCGACGAUCCGUAGCUGGUCUGGGAGGAUGAACCGGCCAACUGGGACUGAGGACCGGGCCCAGACCCCUCGGGGAGGAACAGUGGGGAAUUUUUGGACAUUGGGGGAAACCUUAACCAGGCAAUCCGCCGUGGGUGAAGAGGGCUUUCGGUUUGUAAAGCCCUUUUGUGGGGAAGAAAAGCCGGAGGUUUAUUCCCCCGCUGUUCGGCGGGUCCCAAAAGAUAAAGAACCGCUUACUUCGUG